GGAGAGGUCGCAUAGUGGCCGAUUGCGUUCGCUUGGAAAGCGAAUAUACCGAAAGGUAUCGAGGGUUCGACUCCCUCCCUCUCCGCCA
This 88-nucleotide transfer RNA is filed under the name Patescibacteria group bacterium. Its description in RNAcentral is "tRNA-Ser". It matches the Rfam family "tRNA". Rfam says of the family: Transfer RNA (tRNA) molecules are approximately 80 nucleotides in length. Their secondary structure includes four short double-helical elements and three loops (D, anti-codon, and T loops). Further hydrogen bonds mediate the characteristic L-shaped molecular structure. tRNAs have two regions of fundamental functional importance: the anti-codon, which is responsible for specific mRNA codon recognition, and the 3' end, to which the tRNAs corresponding amino acid is attached (by aminoacyl-tRNA synthetases). tRNAs cope with the degeneracy of the genetic code in two manners: having more than one tRNA (with a specific anti-codon) for a particular amino acid; and 'wobble' base-pairing, i.e. permitting non-standard base-pairing at the 3rd anti-codon position. The record is from RNAcentral.